This 649-nucleotide ribosomal RNA is filed under the name uncultured bacterium. RNAcentral's name for it is "bacterial SSU rRNA". It matches the Rfam family "Bacterial small subunit ribosomal RNA", at positions 747 to 1395 of the family's 1533-position model. The record is from RNAcentral.
UCAGAUGCGAAAGCGUGGGUAGCAAACAGGAUUAGAUACCCUGGUAGUCCACGCCGUAAACGCUGUCUACUUGGAGGUUGAGGUUUUAGACUUUGGCUUUCGGCGCUAACGCAUUAAGUAGACCGCCUGGGGAGUACGGCCGCAAGGUUAAAACUCAAAUGAAUUGACGGGGGCCCGCACAAGCGGUGGAGCAUGUGGUUUAAUUCGAUGCAACGCGAAGAACCUUACCUACUCUUGACAUCCAGCGAAGCCUUUAGAGAUAGAGGUGUGCCUUCGGGAGCGCUGAGACAGGUGCUGCAUGGCUGUCGUCAGCUCGUGCUGUGAAAUGAUGGGUUAAGUCCCGCAACGAGCGCAACCCUUAUCUUUGUUUGCCAGCACGUAAUGGUGGGAACUCCAGGGAGACUGCCGGUGAUAAACCGGAGGAAGGUGGGGACGACGUCAAGUCAUCAUGGCCCUUACGAGUAGGGCUACACACGUGCUAUAAUGGCAGAUACAGAGGGCAGCGAGACAGCGAUGUUUAGCGAAUCCCUUAAAGUUUGUCGUAGUCCGGAUUGGAGUCUGCAACUCGACUCCAUGAAGUCGGAGUCGCUAGUAGUCGUGGAUCAGAAUGCCACGGUGAAUACGUUCCCGGGCCUUGUACACACCGCCC